AAUGAACGUUGGCGGCGUGCUUUACACAUGCAAGUCGAACGGCAGCACGGGUGCUUGCACCUGGUGGCGAGUGGCGAACGGGUGAGUAAUACAUCGGAACGUACCCAGUCGUGGGGGAUAACGUAGCGAAAGUUACGCUAAUACCGCAUACGUCCUGAGGGAGAAAGCGGGGGACCGUAAGGCCUCGCGCGACUGGAGCGGCCGAUGGCGGAUUAGCUAGUUGGUGGGGGAAAGGCCUACCAAGGCGACGACCCGUAGCGGGUCUGAGAGGACGGCCCGCCACACUGGAACUGAGUCACGGUCCAGACUCCUACGGGAGGCAGCAGUGGGGAAUUUUGGACAAUGGGCGAAAGCCUGAUCCAGCCAUUCCGCGUGAGUGAAGAAGGCCUUCGGGUUGUAAAGCUCUUUCGGCAGGGAAGAAACGGCUUGGGAUAAUACCCCGGGCUAAUGACGGUACCUGAAGAAGAAGCACCGGCUAACUACGUGCCAGCCGCCGCCGUAA
This 502-nucleotide ribosomal RNA is filed under the name uncultured bacterium. Its description in RNAcentral is "partial 16S ribosomal RNA". It matches the Rfam family "Bacterial small subunit ribosomal RNA", at positions 29 to 523 of the family's 1533-position model. The record is from RNAcentral.